This 460-nucleotide ribosomal RNA is filed under the name uncultured bacterium. RNAcentral's name for it is "partial 16S ribosomal RNA". It matches the Rfam family "Bacterial small subunit ribosomal RNA", at positions 338 to 795 of the family's 1533-position model. The record is from RNAcentral.
CCUACGGGUGACAGCAGUGAGGAAUAUUGGUCAAUGGACGAGAGUCUGAACCAGCCAAGUAGCGUGAAGGAUGACUGCCCUAUGGGUUGUAAACUUCUUUUAUAUGGGAAUAAACUGUUCCACGUGUGGGCUUUUGUAUGUACCAUAUGAAUAAGGAUCGGCUAACUCCGUGCCAGCAGCCGCGGUAAUACGGAGGAUCCGAGCGUUAUCCGGAUUUAUUGGGUUUAAAGGGAGCGUAGGUGGAUUUUUAAGUCAGUUGUGAAAGUUUGCGGCUCAACCGUAAAAUUGCAGUUGAAACUGGCAGUCUUGAGUACAGUAGAGGUGGGCGGAAUUCGUGGUGUAGCGGUGAAAUGCUUAGAUAUCACGAAGAACUCCGAUUGCGAAGGCAGCUCACUGGACUGCAACUGACACUGAGGCUCGAAAGUGUGGGUAUCAAACAGGAUUAGAUACCCGAGUAGUC